UGUUCUCCAUUCUUCUGGUAUUCCUGUCUUCAUUAUUUCUCUGCAGCAUGAUGUCAUCCACUCUGUUCCUGUGUUUCCCAAUUUCUUCACUAGUUCGAUGGGGAGCUCAUCCGGUCCUCUUGCUUUAUUGUUCUUCAUCUUCUUGAGUUGUCUUCUCACUUCAUCUUCCGUAAUCUCUGGUACUGGCCCAUGGACUGGUUCAAGAUGGUCCAGUUCUUUCCUGUUGUUCUUCGUGUUCAAAAGUCUAUCAAAAUAUUCCCUCCAUCGCUCUUUGAUUUUCUCAUCUUCGCUCACGAUCUUUCCCUGCUCAUUCUUGACAAAAGUGAUCUUGUCAAUGUCCUUUGCUCUUCUCUGUCGAGUUUUAGCUAACUUGUAGAUUCUUUUCGGUCCGUUUUGCUCCAGAUCCUUGUAUAGUUGUUCCUGGCCUUUCUCUCUAACAAUCGCACACUUUUCUUUACUGAUCUUGCUCAUUUCUCUCAGAGUCUCCCUGUCUUCCUCCAAACCAGAUCUCUUCCAUCUCUUAAAAGCUUCUUUCUUGUUCUUCACAGCCUCUUGUACUUCUUCAUUCCACCACCAGGAUUCUUUUUCUAUCUAUUUCCCACCUCUACUAACUCCCAGUGUCUCCUUUGCUGCUUCUAGUAUAUUGGGGUAUGUUUCAUUCCAUUUCCAAUCUCCCACCAUGCUUUGUUCCAUUAGCAUUUCUGUGAUCUUACUUUCCAGCUCAUCUCCUUCCUCAUUAUGUAGUUUCCACCAGUUGAUCUUCUUCGGUCGCUCUCUUCUUAUUCUUCUCCUCUUCUUGAUCUUAUAAUCCAUCACAACGAGUCUAUGCUGCAGUGCAAUUUCCUCACCAGGGGUAACCUUACAAUUUUUAACAUCGCCUAGGUCAUCUCUCUUUAUCAUGAUGAAAUCUAUCACGGUCUGGCUAAGGCCACUAUUGUACGUGUAGGUGUUUCCAUCCCUCUGUGUGAAAAAUGUGUUUACCACUGCGAGGUCCUUGCUCCUUGCAUAGUCCAAGAUCUUAUCUCCUUCUUCAUUUCUUCUUCCGAUUGACUUUCCUCCAUGCCAUCUCUCAAAUCCCUCUACUCUCUCUCUUCCGAUGUGCCCAAUGAGAUCUCCUGCCACAAUCAGCUGUUCUGUUUCCUUCACAUUGGUGGUCACUUCUUCAAGUUGGUUCCAAAAUCUCUGUUUCUCGUCUUCUUCUUCUUCUUUCUUCUUCACAACCUUGCUGAGGUGCAUAGGCAGUCACGACGUUGAACGUCUUGUCAGGUGUUACCAGUUUCAUAGUUAUGAUUCUAUCGGACUUUCUCCGGGUCUCUAUCACUUUAUCUUGCCAUUCCUCACUCAGGCAUAUAGCCACUCCAUUCUUUGGCUUUCCCCCUCCGCUGUAGUACAGCUUGUAGCUCUCUCCGAUGUUUCUUGCCUUCCCUCCUGAUUUCCCACCAGUCCAUCUUGUCUCUUGUAAGCAUAGUAUGUCGAUCCUCCUCCUCUUCAUCAUGUCUGCUAUUUCUCUGCUCUUUCCAGUCAGCGUCCCGAUGUUUAGGAUCGCAACUCUCAAGUUCUUCUGUCUGUUCUGUCUCGCUUGCAUUCUUUUCACAGCGUCAAGACAGUAGUGCCGCUGCGCAUCGCUUACGGGGUAUGCCCUAGCAUUGUCUUCUCUUCUGAUUGUCUCCGGCAUAUUAUCAUGUGGCAUGUUCUUUUAAGGACCGGAUGCUCUUCCUGACAUCCACCUUCUGUGUUUAUCCGGGCUUGGGACCGGCUGUCUGCUGCACUGACUUGUCCAGUAUCCAGGCCACAUUAGUUGAUUAUCAACUAUAGACCUGCCAACAUUAGGUUGACUCUCCAAAGAGGUCAUAAAGCAACGUUAAUCUGCACUGCUGAAGGCCGUCCACAACCAAACUUUGAAAUAUUUUCAAAGCGCUCUAAACUUGUCUAUAAAGGCUCCACCUACACAUUUGACAUCGUUAAAUCUUGUGAUUUUGGAAAUUAUACUUGUAAAGCGACAAACAUUUUAGGCAGUGCCAUAUCACAUGACGUACACGUGCAAACAUUUAAAGAUA
Molecule: long non-coding RNA, 2057 nt
Organism: Xenia sp. Carnegie-2017
Lineage: Eukaryota; Metazoa; Cnidaria; Anthozoa; Malacalcyonacea; Xeniidae
Exons: 2
Source: RefSeq, a predicted model, not a curated record